Molecule: long non-coding RNA, 1058 nt
Filed under: Helianthus annuus (common sunflower)
Lineage: Eukaryota; Viridiplantae; Streptophyta; Magnoliopsida; Asterales; Asteraceae
Description: hypothetical non coding rna
Source: RNAcentral
UCACUUUUCACAAACCCUACAUACCAUUUCCUAAAUCUGCUUCUUCGUUUUUCAGAGAUUCAUCGUCCUUAGGGUUUGCUUGUGGUCUUUCGUAUCCGUCAAAACCCUAAUCGACCGGAGAAAUCGUCAAAAGUUCUUCACAAUAUGAUCGUUCCACAUAAUUUGCAGAUAUGCAUCCCUUGCACAACAGUCCUUCAUUUUUAAAGCUUAUUGAUGAAGAUGACCCGAUAUUUUUGGUGAAAAGCUUCUUUCAGACUCCUUCCCCUACAAGGAACUAUUGAAUGGGUUCCUAUGAGAAGUUGAAGAAAAGUUAUGGAUAAUGAAAACAACGCUCCUUCGUUAUUAAAGUCGAUUGAGGACUAUGAUCAUAUAUUUUUCGAAUUGUUAGUCGACCAAAAACAGUUAUGGAUCCUAAAAACAACUCUCAUUCGUUGUUAAAGUUGAUUGAGGAAUAUGAUCUUAUAUUUUUGGUGUUUAUUUUGGAUGGUCCGGAGUUUUUAGCUGCAACUAUGUUGGACAGAGAUAUGCUUGCUAUUGCUGUAAAUUGGUACCAUAUCGGUUGGUUUUGCUUGGUAAGAUUUGUGACGAUGCGUCGGACAAACAACAUUGGGAAAAUAUACAGCCUUGAGCCUUGAUGACCAAUGUAUAUCUCUAUUUGAGGAAUUCUCCAAAGAUCCAGAGCCGAUUGUUUCAUAGAGCUGUGAAGUUGCGUUAAACAUAUUGGAUUUUGAACUAUCCGACAAACCAUUCGAGGUACUUGGAAGAUUAAGUCUCUUAUCUGGGUGGUUGUUACAGGUUUAGGAUGUUAAAUGAUUUUGGAUGUACUCUGCGAUGUCGAUGAUGAGAGAUGUUGGUGAAGCUCAGGUUCGAACAACUUCAUGUGUAUAUUUUAUUAUAAAAAAUAAAAGUUUUUUUUUGUUUCAUGGGUCGUUCAAAGAGGCAAGUUUCUGCCUCCGGUUCUUGCCCGAAGUUUCUGACCUUACUCGCAACCCAUUGACUACAACUUUCAAUUCAAAACAAUUGUAAAAAAAUUACGUUUGAAAACAUGUAUUUUUAUU